GGGGGGGGAUUCCUUCGGCCCCCGUGGAUGGAUGAGACGCCGCAGGGCUGAUCGUUUUGUCUCCAUUUUAUUGUUUGGACUCUUCUGCGGGUCGGGGGUUAUUAAGCGAGGUAUAAUUGCCCCCCUGGGGCAGAGAAGUCUCGGCUCGUGGGCUCUGUAUAGCGGUGCGGAGUAUGCAGGGAGAGCUGCCCUUAGACGUGACCCAAGAAUCCGACCCACACCCGGUCAGGGCUGGGGGGCCCGGGGCGGGGGGGGGUCACUGACGGCCGGUUUUAUUGGGUGGGUUUCUGUAUAUUUUGUGCGUUUUUAGAUUUUCUGCACGUGGACAGAAUAAAGCGUUUUACUGAGUU
Long non-coding RNA from Spea bombifrons (plains spadefoot toad), 350 nucleotides. RefSeq lists it as uncharacterized. Lineage: Eukaryota; Metazoa; Chordata; Amphibia; Anura; Pelobatidae. The record is from RefSeq and is a predicted model, not a curated record. The transcript has 2 exons.